This is a long non-coding RNA of Callithrix jacchus (white-tufted-ear marmoset), 6047 nucleotides long. RefSeq lists it as uncharacterized. The record is from RefSeq and is a predicted model, not a curated record. Lineage: Eukaryota; Metazoa; Chordata; Mammalia; Primates; Cebidae.
UUCAGUGUCUGCAGAAAAGGUUAGCUGACAGUUAUGUUCUUUUUGGAAGGGAGGGGUUGGGCAAUGGAGGGCAAGGGCUGCUUCAGAGAGUCUGAGAAGGGACAGGCGUCAGGCAACGGGACACCAGCAAAUGCCUCCACACCCGGAGCCAACGCCCUCCUUCACUCCUCCCCAUAUGCCAUGGAACAGCUUGUUCCUGGUGACCGAAAGGGAAACGCAUGGCCAGAAGAGGAGGAAAGACAUUGCUGGGAGACCUGUUCUUCCUGCUGAUGACAGACACCAGCAAGAAGUGGCCCUAAAGAACAGCUGGUGACCCUGAGUGGGGUGCUCAGGAGAGCCAAGUGGCUCCUGGCUUGCUGGCACCCAAGAUGACUCAGGACCUGGGAGGCUGCAGAUGAAAUUAAAGAGACAAGCAGACCACUCUGAAGGAGCUUCCCCUCUGGAGUUGCAGGCAAUGCGUUGGGUUUUGAGCAUGGAUUGGUGAAUGAAGGCACACUGCCUGGUCUCAUGGAGCUCGCAUUCUGAUGGAGGAAACACUUAACAACCUACUGAACAUGAAGAUGACAAGGAUGAAGACCUUAAUGAUGAUCUGUUUCCACAUAAUGAAUAGUUGCCUUACGAGAUGGUUUGAAUAUUUGUCGCUUCCAAAUCUCAUGUUGAAACAUGACCUCCAAUGUUGGAAGUGGACCUAGUGGAAGGUGUUUGAAUCAGGUGGGCGGAUCUUUCACAAAUGGCUUGGUGCCUUCCCUAUGGUAACGAGUAAGUUCUCACUCUGUUAGAGACCCUGAGAUCUGAUUGUGUAAAGGAGCCUGAAACCUCCUUCUAUCUCUCUUGCCCCCUCUCUCGCCAUGUGACACCCCUGCUCCCCCUUCUCCUUCUACAAGGCCUUACCAGAAGCCAAGAAGAUGCUGGUGCCAUACUUGUAAAGCCUGCAGAACCGUGAGCCAAAGAAACUUAUUUUCUUUAUAAAUUACCAAGCCUAGGUAUUCCUUUAUAGCAAUGCAUAACAGACUAACACACCUUCUAGUAAUGGCAAAUGAUGUUGAGAUUUCAUUUAUGAUAAUGAGAUAUAUUUUCAUCUUUCGAUAAAUUGAAGUUUAAAAAGGCCAUAAAUAGAAAAUAAAUAGUAGAGCUGAUAUGUAAUUAUGGAUAAAAUCAUGACAGAGUGUUAGACAGAUGUCUGAGUUAGACUGGGAAGGUUGACUUAGACAUUUUGGAAUCUAUGAAAAGAGGACACAGCCCGAAAAGUCUAAGACAGUUGAAAACCAUUCAGACGCGCCGUAGAUCGUGAGUGUCGUAAAGGCUGCAGAAUGCUUCGAAUAACAAGAGCUAACAUGUGUGAUGUGUCAGGUAAUAUCCUGAGUGCUUUACAUCGUUCAUUUCAUCCUCGUAACAGCCCUAAGAAGGAGCAAUUAUUGUUAGUCCCAUUUUACAGAGUGAGAAACUCAGGCUCAUCAAAUUUGGAUAACUUACCUAAGGUCAAAUGGCCAGUAAGAGACAGACGUUCCAAGCCCAACUUUUAACCAUGAUGCUAGACAUCCUCCCAACUUGUCCUCUUUUUGCUUUAGCACCUUGGGGUAGGUGUGGGUAAAGCAGAAGGUUCCCGGGAGCUAUGACAACCAGAGUCAAAAUGCCCUUCUUUGAGACAAGCCUAAGAUAUCACCUGACUCUUCCCACUACAGCUGCUUCACUUCACAAGGAUAAUCAAAUCCUGAGUUACUGUGACCUGGCUUUCUUUGCCUUUGCCUUUUCUAAGACUCUCAGACUCUCAGACUUAUGGGAAAGAUUCCAGUCCCCAAGGGAAAGCUCAUGAUGCUUCAAAACCCUUAUGCAGAGCUCUGCUAAAUGUGAAAUGAGCCUUUCAUUCAUUCAACACUUAGCUUGGCCUGGAGUGCCCCAGGUACUGGAGAUACACAAUGAACAAGGCAAAUGCAGCCUCUCUGUUUCUGGGGAGGAAUGAUAAAUGCAUAAGUAGAUAAAUCAAAUAAUUGCAGGGAUCAUACGGUCAUGAAAAAAUAUUUCUGGGGAAUGAUGGGGUAUGAGGGAGGUCCUUGGGUAGGUGUCAAGGGUAGGUGAGGUUGAGUUCUGGCACAAAGGUUUGGAGGCCAGAACAAGUGUGGUGAGUUCAAGGGUCAAAAGUUAAAGGUCGAUGAGGCUUUUUUUUUUUUUCCCCAAGAUGGAGUUUCGCUGUUGUUACCCAGACUGGAGUGAAUGGCACGAUCUCGGCUCACCACAGCCUCUGCCUUCUGGGUUCAAGCAAUUCUCCUGCCUCAGCCUCCUGAGUAGCUGGGACUACAGGUGCUGUGAAGCCACUGGAGGUUUCCGAGGACCGUGACACAGUCAGACUUCUGUUGGGAAGCCCGGAGCUGGGAGAAAUCUGCUGAUGUCACAGGAGAGUCGGACCAAGAAGUUUCUGCACUUGGAAUAGCUGAACUCCUCCCCAGAAACUUCAAGAAAUAAAUUUUUUCCUUUCUAACACUCCCACCUAUGAGUCUUCUCAAAUAAACUCAGCUGGAAGAGUGCCUUGCACAUGUAAAGAAGCCCUGUUUCUAUCUCGUGGGCAGGACUUUGAAUCAGGGGCAUGCAAUUUAAUAUAACAUGUAGACCACUGCCAACCGAAGACAGGAUAGGUGAAGCUGCCCACGACCUUGGCCUGUUUCCUGCUCUCCUCCUUGGUAUUGCUUCUCUCCAGAGUCCCUUGUUGCUUGUCUCUUGCAGUAAUAGAAAAGCCCUCCUUGACCUCUGUCCCAAGAGUGGUAGACAGAACACCGUUCCUUCUAGCCAGGGGCUUCAGGGGGCAGCAUUCGCAGUGGAAACACAGCCUUGCUCAUGCAGAAAACCCCAAGAGAAAUAUCUCCCAUGCCCAGGCACUUAACCCUUGCAUGGAGGUUCGGAUGUCAAGAACGAGAGCCAGCACAUCCAGGAUCUGCUAAUAGAGUCAGCAGGAUUAGGCGAGCCCUAAAAUUACAUAGACUCUGGAGAGAGAGGGAAGAGAGACCACAGCAAGGCUUUGCAAGCACACUAUGUCACACUUAACGGAAACUGUCUUUCCAGCUGGAAAUGUUCACCCUUUUCCCAAAAUGUGGCUUUUCCUUUUCCCUACCCAUGGAAAAAAGAGCUACUAGCAUAUAAUUUACCAGGAGACCACCUGCUUCAAAACUGGAUUCCCAGGCCUCACCCUCCAAGGUCCUGAUUCAGUACGUGUCUGUUGCGAAUGCAAAUUUUAAGCAAGUGCACAAGAAACGUGAGAACUACCGUAUGAGAGGAACACAUUCUACCUCCCAGAUGAGAGAUGUAUGGGAGCCUAAGUAUUCCAGAAUACAAUGUUCUCCUCCAAAAGGAAAAUGGGGAAAGUGUACAGAACAAACCGAGAUUCAAAUCCUGGCAUCACCACUCCCUGGCUGUGAUAACUUGGGCAAAUUGCUGAUCCACUCAGAGCCUCAGUUUCCCCAUCUGUAAAGUGGGGACCAUCAUAGUACCUCUCUGGGUUGCAGUGAGGACUAAUGAUAUAAUGCAAGUAAGGUGCCCAGGACAAAUACCUGGCACACAGAAGGAACUCAAGAAGCAGCCGGCUCGGUAGCUCACGGUUAUAAUCCCAGCAUUUUGGAAGGCUGAGGCGGGUAGAUUACGAGGUCAGGAGAUUGAGACCAUCCUGACUAACAUGGUAAAACCUGUCCCUACUAAAAAUACAAAAUUAGCUGGACGUGGUGGCAGGCACCUGUAGUCCCAGCUACUCAGGAGAAUUGCUUGAACCUGGGAGGUAGAGGUUAUAGUGAGCCAAGACCACGCCACUGCACUCCAGCCUGGGUGACAGAAAAAAAAAAAAAAAAAAAAAGUGGCAGGUGCUGUUCUUUUUAUUACAGUAGUUACCGUAAUUAUUGCUAGUUUGUGCAGCAGCUUUCUACAGCAAGCCCCUAAGAUCCUCUGCUGGAGGACUCUCUUUGGCUGGAAAUAUGGGCUGGCUGGAACAUUUGGAGACUUCUACCAACUAUGGGUGGGCAUUGGUUGAUGGAUAUUCCAGCCCCCUCUUUCAUGGGUGGCAUGACCCAGAGGUAUACUUAUUUUAGAUUGUAUCCCAAUCCCCCCAAGUUGUAACCUGCUCUUUGAUACACCCAUUACCGCUGCCUUAACCCUCUGCCUCACUUCCCUACUCCUCUAUUGGUGUGGCCUGGGAUCACCUCUCAAUAAACUACUUGCCCUCACAUCUUCAUCUCUGGGUCUGUAGAAACAGGGAAGCCCAAUUAAAACAUCUGGAUUAUUAAAAGAAAUUCAGAACACCCACGUGGCCUUCCCCACAGCUCUCACACCAAAACCAAGCCUUCUGCCCCUUGGCUCCUUGUGCAUCUCUAGCUGUCAAUCCUGAAUGAAUUUGGUUCUCCAGAUGCUCCAUUCCCCAAGAGGGAAGGGAAGAGGUGAGGUAGACACAGCAGACUGCCCCCAACAAUGUGAAAGAUGGCAAACCUCCACACCAGAUGUGGGCCUGGAGGAGCCCCAUGUUUCAAGAUGGUGGCUCUGAAGGAUUCCCAGGCACCAAGGAAGGUCCUAUAUGGUUCCAGAAGCGGUCAAAAGUUUACCCUUUGGAAUUAAGCUGACCUGAGCCUGAAUCACAGGUCUGCCCUUCCUGGCAGGGCAAGAGAGCAUCUAAUGAAAGAAUGUCUGAGAAGUGCCACAUAGGCACCGAAUAGGUCAAUGCAUUAGCAGGCAGGGAUAAACCCACUCUGAGCGCACACAGGGAAUGCCCUGCCACCCUCAUAGAACCUGCAAACUUGGAAAGGAUUUAUUUAAAACUUUCACUGCAAAUAGUUAAUUUUUUUUUCUUUUAACUUCCAAGGCUUAAUAGGAUAAGCUUCAGUUAUUGGGAAAAGUUGCUUACAAGGAACAUCUCAGUCCCCCAAGGGAGCUGCUGUCUAAAUGAGACAUGAUCUCUGUCUGAAAAUGAAAUAUGUGAAUUUAUGUGGAGGGCAGAAUCUAGGUCUUCCUCAUGUUCUACCUUCCUUUCCCCCUUCAUUGAAAGGCACCUGGUGCUUAUUACCUCGUGGGUAAGUAUCAGAGAGAUGGGGGGAAAGAGGAGGAAAGAAAAAGAAGAAUGGGCAGAAGGGGAAAUGUGUCAAACACUGUGAAUUUAGAAACAUUCUAUCCCCAUCAAAACGUUUUUGAAAGGUCGUUUCUAUUUCUUAUAAAUCACAUCCCCACUGCCAUGUGUGCACCUAUGCAACUAUCUUUCAUAUUCUGCACAUGUACCCCAAAACCUAAAACGCAAUAAAAAAUAAGAAAAUUUUUAAAAAAUAAUAAAAAUAAAAAAAUAAAUCACAUCCCUGUUAGUUUGUGAAAUGCAAUAUUGCCCAGUCUGCAUUUCCUUCUUUCUUCCUGCCCUUCUUCCUAAUGUGGGGCUCGGGGCAAGGAUUUGGCCAGAAGCAAACUGGAUCUCCAUGGAUCUUACUCCAGGAACUGCAGGGGACAAAUGGUCUCUUUCACGAGCAGCUCUGCUGUUUUCUUGAUAGAUCUGUCAUGGCCCCCUGUGAAGCAGACACAAGCCUAGAGCCUGGCACGGAGCUGGAAUCAGAACGCUGGCGUUCACAGGAGACACAAGCAAGACCCCUACUAGGGAAGACCGUCGCGUCAAUUUCUCACUGCUCAUUGGGCGAUUCUAACCAAUGGAUAAAAAUUUGCUCUGAUCACUUCUGAUCUCUCAUUUCUCCUACUUUUUCUUGUUCCAUACUAGCUAACUUUAGAAUAAUCCAUCUGAGUAGGGCCCAGUUUUCCUUCCAGAGUGCAAAUGGAACAUUUUUAAAACCUGGCUCCUGAUAUCCAAUUGAGGCAACAUUAAACAAGCACAAACUUUGAGCACAGUGCUAAAUUACACAACCCGUUUCCCUGAACAACAAUCUCUUAAGAGCUGGAUAAUGUUACACCCAUGUAAUAGAUUAAAAGUACUGGACAUCUAGCUUUCGCUGGCUUACUUUUGUUAAUAGUGAAUAUCAAUUUACAUAUGGCUAUGGAAUCACAAUAUUGACGAGAAUAGGAAUAACAAUUAUUUCCCUUUACCA